AAAUUUUAGCCAGUUGUAAAGUGCGAUUAAAAACAAAUGAGUUAACAAAUAAUGAAUUCAAAAAAAAAAGAUAAUAAAAAAACGCAAUAGGUUCGCAUCGGAUUUUGUCUGUGCCAGACGAAGUUUCGAAUAUAGUACCUCCAAUAAAGAUGGCUUUUGUUAAGAUGCCUUUGCAAUAUCUUUUUGGAGGGAAAAGUCAAAAAAUUACUACAGCGGUCAUUAAAUAUAUCCACAUCCAAAAUUGGAAAUAAAAUGCAGUCUUCAAUUUUUACCCCACUUGUGCGGGAUUUUUUUUUUUAAACCCAAAUAAACCCUAUUUCAUGGCUGAAUGAUCGAUAAAAGUACCAAAAUAUGCAACUGUUUUCAAGGAUUGUGUAUGGAUGUGUGUGAUAUGUACAUUCAUGUCCCCCAAUCCCCAAAAAAUGAUGUGUAAACGAACAGGAUUUGUUUUUGUACAAUAUUUAGUUAAAUCCAGAUCAUAAAAUUUUCAAUGUUAA
Molecule: long non-coding RNA, 497 nt
Organism: Stomoxys calcitrans (stable fly)
Lineage: Eukaryota; Metazoa; Arthropoda; Insecta; Diptera; Muscidae
Exons: 2
Source: RefSeq, a predicted model, not a curated record